Long non-coding RNA from Mus musculus (house mouse), 1283 nucleotides. RefSeq annotates it as predicted gene, 47843. The transcript has 2 exons. NCBI's taxonomy places the organism in Eukaryota, Metazoa, Chordata, Mammalia, Rodentia, Muridae. The record is from RefSeq and is a predicted model, not a curated record.
GAUAAAACAAGAAAGAACUGUAGCUGUGGGAAUAAAAGAAACGCCCAGGAAGCAGUCUUUUACAUCUCCUUAUCUGGGAACGUUCUAAGUUUCUUGAGGAAUUCUACACUGGAGAGAUGGGUGUGUCUGAAGGGGACUUGUUCCUGGGCUCACAGGAAUGGAAGAAACUUCUACUCCAAAUCAAAAUGACAAAAAUAUAUGCUGAAGAUGGAACUAUAAUCUUGAAACUGGCUUUGUUUGGAGAGAAAUGUCUGUGUUUGUGCUAUGGCUGAGAAACUGCAUCUUCAGCUAAGGGCAAGAUGAGACAAAUCAAGGACUCCAGGACGAACCCAAGAACUUUCCAGAAGGCUCCCAUGCAAUCAAUACCUGCUAUCUGUGAGAUGGCACCAACCUUGUGCAGGAGCACUUUGUAAUGUCUGACCUCAGACUCUGCUCUAAUCUUUUAAAGUGCUCCUUGGGACUUCUCUGACUCUACAUCAUGAGCAGCCUUGAUCAUGGGUACGUCAUCUGAAGACAUGUGUGUUCCUGGUACCACCACCUGUUGACAUGUAAAGAAAACUUGAGUGUAGUCAAAUAUACAAAUAUGUUACAGUUAAAAAUUUGAACCUACUUGUGCCCUUUGUAAGGCCCUUCUCUUCCCUUUAAAUAAUAUAUAAAUUUCUUGUUACACAUUUUGGCUAUUGAUUCAUUGGGAUUAUUCUUCAGUGAGGAAAGACCUAUAGCAUGUAAGAGAGAUUCGAUUUCAUUUUUUUUUCUUUUUUUUGAGAUAUGGGAGAUUUAUUGUCCCAGUCCCCAGUAUCUUGACUUUUCUUUCUUUAAUAUUUUAUUUAUUUAUUUUGUGUGUCCGUGUCCGUGUCCGUGUCCGUGUGUGUGUGUGUGUGUGUGUUUGUGUGUGUAUGUUUAUAGGUGUAUAUCCCACAGAGUGGGUAUAGGUUAUAGGAAAACUUGUGAGACUGAGUUCUUUUCUACCACUCCGUGGAUUACAGUGAUCAAACUCAGGUUUCCAGGCUUAGUGGCAAGAGCAUUGACCACUGAGCCAUCUUGCUAUCCCUUGGUUUUUCAUUCUGUGCAGUUGAUAAAUCCAGAAUACUGCAGUAUCUUCCUUCACUUAAACUUUUAAUGAAUCUUGCUGUCAGGCUGGACACCAUGUCUUCUAACCUCCUUAUUAGUCGUGUUUGGUAUUUGUUGUGUCUUUGGAGUCCAUAUAAAUGCUAGAGUGAUUUAGCAACUGAAAAGUUUUUCUUGAGUUCUAAAAAUAAAAUAUUAAAUUUCAUUGUAAAGAA